GGCCCGUUCGUCUAUCGGUCAGGACGGCACCCUUUCACGGUGCAGAGAGGGGUUCGAUUCCCCUACGGGCUA
This 72-nucleotide transfer RNA is filed under the name Gemmatimonadaceae bacterium. RNAcentral describes it as "tRNA-Glu". It matches the Rfam family "tRNA". Rfam says of the family: Transfer RNA (tRNA) molecules are approximately 80 nucleotides in length. Their secondary structure includes four short double-helical elements and three loops (D, anti-codon, and T loops). Further hydrogen bonds mediate the characteristic L-shaped molecular structure. tRNAs have two regions of fundamental functional importance: the anti-codon, which is responsible for specific mRNA codon recognition, and the 3' end, to which the tRNAs corresponding amino acid is attached (by aminoacyl-tRNA synthetases). tRNAs cope with the degeneracy of the genetic code in two manners: having more than one tRNA (with a specific anti-codon) for a particular amino acid; and 'wobble' base-pairing, i.e. permitting non-standard base-pairing at the 3rd anti-codon position. RNAcentral also lists the same sequence under 1 other name. The record is from RNAcentral. Lineage: Bacteria; Pseudomonadati; Gemmatimonadota; Gemmatimonadia; Gemmatimonadales; Gemmatimonadaceae.